RNAcentral lists this ribosomal RNA (889 nucleotides) under uncultured bacterium. RNAcentral describes it as "bacterial SSU rRNA". It matches the Rfam family "Bacterial small subunit ribosomal RNA", at positions 505 to 1397 of the family's 1533-position model. The record is from RNAcentral.
GUGCCAGCCGCCGCGGUAAUACGGAAGGUCCGGGCGUUAUCCGGAUUUAUUGGGUUUAAAGGGAGCGCAGGCUGAUGAUUAAGCGUGACGUGAAAUGUAGCCGCUCAACGGCUGAGUUGCGUCGCGAACUGGUUAUCUUGAGUGAGUACGACGUCGGCGGAAUUCGUGGUGUAGCGGUGAAAUGCUUAGAUAUCACGAAGAACCCCGAUUGCGAAGGCAGCUGACGAGUCCUUAACUGACGCUAAAGCUCGAAGGUGCGGGUAUCGAACAGGAUUAGAUACCCUGGUAGUCCGCACGGUAAACGAUGGAUGCCCGCUGUUGGCGAUAUACCGCCAGUGGCCAAGCGAAAGCGUUAAGCAUCCCACCUGGGGAGUACGCCGGCAACGGUGAAACUCAAAGGAAUUGACGGGGGCCCGCACAAGCGGAGGAACAUGUGGUUUAAUUCGAUGAUACGCGAGGAACCUUACCCGGGCUUGAACUGCAGCAGAACGAUCCAGAGAUGGUGAGGCCCUUCGGGGCUGCUGUGGAGGUGCUGCAUGGUUGUCGUCAGCUCGUGCCGUGAGGUGUCGGCUUAAGUGCCAUAACGAGCGCAACCCCUUUCGCCAGUUGCCAUCAGGUGAUGCUGGGCACUCCGGCGACACUGCCACCGUAAGGUGUGAGGAAGGUGGGGAUGACGUCAAAUCAGCACGGCCCUUACGUCCGGGGCUACACACGUGUUACAAUGGGGAGUACAGAGAGUCAGGUGCCGGCAACGUCGCCUCAAUCAUGAAAGCUCUCCUCAGUUCGGAUUGGGGUCUGCAACCCGACCCCAUGAAGCUGGAUUCGCUAGUAAUCGCGCAUCAGCCAUGGCGCGGUGAAUACGUUCCCGGGCCUUGUACACACCGCCCGU